Molecule: transfer RNA, 73 nt
Filed under: Actinomycetota bacterium
Lineage: Bacteria; Bacillati; Actinomycetota
Description: tRNA-Lys
Rfam family: tRNA
About the family: Transfer RNA (tRNA) molecules are approximately 80 nucleotides in length. Their secondary structure includes four short double-helical elements and three loops (D, anti-codon, and T loops).
Source: RNAcentral
GCGCCGCUAGCUCAACUGGCAGAGCAGCGGACUCUUAAUCUGCGGGUUCGGGGUUCGAGUCCCUGGCGGCGCA